GAAAUGCGAUAAGUAGUGUGAAUUGCAGAAUUCAGUGAAUCAUCGAAUCUUUGAACGCACAUUGCGCCCCUUGGUAUUCCAUGGGGCAUGCCUGUUCGAGCGUCAUCUACACCCUCAAGCUCUGCUUGGUGUUGGGCGUCUGUCCCGCCCCCGCGCGUGGACUCGCCCCAAAUCUAUUGGCAGCGUUCCUUGCCCCCUCUCGCGCAGCACAUUGCGCUUCUCGAGGGCGGCUCCGGGACGCGAUCCAGCAAGAUGACCACCGUCUUUGACCUCGGAUCAGGUAGGGAUACCCGCUGAACUUAAGC
RNAcentral lists this unclassified non-coding RNA (305 nucleotides) under plant metagenome. RNAcentral's name for it is "partial contains 5.8S ribosomal RNA, internal transcribed spacer 2, and large subunit ribosomal RNA". The stretch from base 1 to 105 matches the Rfam family "5.8S ribosomal RNA", at positions 50 to 154 of the family's 154-position model. The record is from RNAcentral.